Molecule: ribosomal RNA, 495 nt
Filed under: uncultured bacterium
Lineage: Bacteria
Description: partial 16S ribosomal RNA
Rfam family: Bacterial small subunit ribosomal RNA
Source: RNAcentral
GACGAACGCUGGCGGCGUGCCUAAUACAUGCAAGUAGAACGCUGAAGGAGGAGCUUGCUUCUCUGGAUGAGUUGCGAACGGGUGAGUAACGCGUAGGUAACCUGCCUGGUAGCGGGGGAUAACUAUUGGAAACGAUAGCUAAUACCGCAUAAGAGUAGAUGUCGCAUGACAUUUGCUUAAAAGUUGCAAUUGCAUCACUACCAGAUGGACCUGCGUUGUAUUAGCUAGUUGGUGAGGUAACGGCUCACCAAGGCAACGAUACAUAGCCGACCUGAGAGGGUGAUCGGCCCCCCUGGGACUGAGACACGGCCCAGACUCCUACGGGAGGCAGCAGGAGGGAAUCUUCGGCAAUGGACGGAAGUCUGACCGAGCAACGCCGCGGGAGGGAAGAAGGGUCUCGGAUCGGAAAGCUCGGUUGUAAGAGAAGAACGAGUGUGAGAGUGGAAAGUUCACACUGUGACGGUAUCUAACCAGAAAGGGACGGCUAACUACGUG